RNAcentral lists this unclassified non-coding RNA (143 nucleotides) under fungal sp. RNAcentral's name for it is "partial internal transcribed spacer region". The stretch from base 1 to 46 matches the Rfam family "Eukaryotic small subunit ribosomal RNA", at positions 1786 to 1831 of the family's 1831-position model. The record is from RNAcentral. Lineage: Eukaryota; Fungi.
AAGUCGUAACAAGGUUUCCGUAGGUGAACCUGCGGAAGGAUCAUUAAAGAGAGAAAAAUAAACCAAGAGCAAGAGGAGACAUAAAAAACAAAGUAGGAAAAAAAAAGAGAAAACAACUUUUAGCAACGGAUCUCUAGGUUCUC